Molecule: regulatory RNA element, 114 nt
Organism: Gorilla gorilla gorilla (western lowland gorilla)
Lineage: Eukaryota; Metazoa; Chordata; Mammalia; Primates; Hominidae
Rfam family: Potassium channel RNA editing signal
About the family: This family represents a group of sequences related to the human potassium channel Kv1.1 hairpin element which directs the efficient modification of an adenosine to inosine by an adenosine deaminase acting on RNA (ADAR). The ADAR modification causes an isoleucine/valine recoding event which lies in the ion-conducting pore of the potassium channel. It is thought that this editing event targets the process of fast inactivation and allows a more rapid recovery from inactivation at negative potentials.
Source: Rfam
CCCAGGUAUGGUGACAUGGUGCCAAAAACCAUAGCAGGGAAGAUUUUUGGUUCUAUCUGUUCGCUGAGUGGGGUCUUGGUCAUUGCUCUACCCGUUCCGGUGAUUGUAUCCAAC